RNAcentral lists this transfer RNA (72 nucleotides) under Pelecanus occidentalis. RNAcentral describes it as "tRNA-Trp". It matches the Rfam family "tRNA". Rfam says of the family: Transfer RNA (tRNA) molecules are approximately 80 nucleotides in length. Their secondary structure includes four short double-helical elements and three loops (D, anti-codon, and T loops). Further hydrogen bonds mediate the characteristic L-shaped molecular structure. tRNAs have two regions of fundamental functional importance: the anti-codon, which is responsible for specific mRNA codon recognition, and the 3' end, to which the tRNAs corresponding amino acid is attached (by aminoacyl-tRNA synthetases). tRNAs cope with the degeneracy of the genetic code in two manners: having more than one tRNA (with a specific anti-codon) for a particular amino acid; and 'wobble' base-pairing, i.e. permitting non-standard base-pairing at the 3rd anti-codon position. The record is from RNAcentral. Lineage: Eukaryota; Metazoa; Chordata; Aves; Pelecaniformes; Pelecanidae.
AGAAACUUAGGAUAACCAUAAACCGAAGGCCUUCAAAGCCUUAAACAAGAGUUAAACCCUCUUAGUUUCUGC